UCGGAUUUAACGUCCCCAUUCUGACCGGACGUGACUGCGAACUUGAUACAUCCCGCACAGCCAAACGGACGCCCCACUUCGUUUUACUGCCGGUCGGGGGAAGACCAAGUGACCAUAUUUCGUUUCCCCAGUCACCCUUGGGGAACUUUAAAUUAGAAACAACAGAAAUCCAUAUAUGUGAUCAAACUGAUCGACAUGUAUCCUCACAACCUGACACUUUUAUACGAUCUCGCGCUCAGUUUCUUCCUUGUAGUUUGGAUAUGAAAACAGGGUUUUUGUGUAAAAGAAAAACCUUUAAAAAAAACCCAGAAAACUACGCAAAACUGAGUCCUCUAAACGUGUUGACAGUCUUUUAAGUUGUGCUUAUUAAUGUGAGUAAUCAUUUAUCCAUGCAUAACCAAGUACUUAUUAAAGACAACACCUGUGCAAUUAAGUAAAACAGUUACUGAAAAAUUAGAAUUUAAACUGGCUGUCAGUUCAUUAAUAACGA
RNAcentral lists this long non-coding RNA (490 nucleotides) under Mytilus galloprovincialis (Mediterranean mussel). The record is from RNAcentral. Lineage: Eukaryota; Metazoa; Mollusca; Bivalvia; Mytilida; Mytilidae.